Molecule: ribosomal RNA, 436 nt
Filed under: uncultured bacterium
Lineage: Bacteria
Description: bacterial SSU rRNA
Rfam family: Bacterial small subunit ribosomal RNA
Source: RNAcentral
CGGCCCAGACUCCGACGGGAGGCAGCAGUGGGGAAUAUUGGACAAUGGGCGAAAGCCUGAUCCAGCAAUACCGAUGGAGUGAUGAAGGCCUUAGGCUUGUAAAACUCUUUUAGCAAGGAAGACAAUGACGUUACUUGCAGAAAAAGCCCCGGCUAACUCCGUGCCAGCAGCCGCGGUAAGACGGGGGGGGCUAGCGUUGUUCGGAAUUACUGGGCGUAAAGAGUGCGUAGGCGGUUUAGUAAGUUGGAAGUGAAAGCCCGGGGCUUAACCUCGGAAUUGCUUUCAAAACUACUAAUCUAGAGUGUAGUAGGGGAUGAUGGAAUUCCUAGUGUAGAGGUGAAAUUCUUAGAUAUUAGGAGGAACACCGGUGGCGAAGGCGGUCAUCUGGGCUACAACUGACGCUAAUGCACGAAAGCGUGGGGAGCAAACAGGAUUA